UGGGUGUAGAGCACCCACUAAUUUUUCCCCGUGGGUGCUCUAGCCCAGGAGCACCCACGGAGUCAGUGCCUAUGCCCUGGGGUUCAGGUAUGUAGGACACUCUAUUCACCUUAGCCAGGCCUCACCAUCUACAUUGCUAUUUAUACCCAUGCUAGAUUGGCAGGCAGUGACUGUACUCUACACUCUGCCGCAAACGUAGACCUACCCUAAAAGUCCCAGUGAAGAAGAGAAACUAUUAUUCUUUAUCAGUUCUCCCCACUCCCAUAGUCUGAUCUUUUGUCUCAGUGUCAGAUCCAAUUCCCGUAGUAGUCUAUUGGAGUUUUUUACUGAUUUUAGUGAAGCAGUGUUUUGGGCCUUAAUAGACAUUUCCGUGGUACUCUGCAGCAGAAAGACUUUGUAUCUACAAUCUGCCAGCAGAUGGCAAUAGCGUAGGAGUUUGAAAAUAUCUCCGUUAAGAAGAGCACCUUUGCCACCAAUUGUUUGUGUUCUUGGUGUGCAGAAUCCUGCUCUUAAAUCUGACAAAGAAUUGUGAACGCAAUAUUUUUCCUGUAAGAAAGUUUAUCAUCUCAUUAGGAACUUUCUGAUCUAUUAGUAAAUUUUGGAAGUGUUUUGUUAGCACUGACUUUUCCCAAGUAUGUGAAAAUGCUGUUAACUCUGCUAUUAUGUUAGUGAGAAUAGUUACUAAUAAAAUUACAGAUUGCUUACACAGCACAAUGUUGUUGUUUACAUAGCAUUUUCCUAGGGCCUCAAAAGGCACUCAUCUAUCAUCUAUUAUUGUUUACUGAAGUCCUUUACUAAAUAGGCAGGAAGGUCUCUUCAAGAUUCUUCCGGUUACAGAUUAUAAUCUCUGGAAAAAAAAGCAAUGACAAUAUGUCUGGUGAUAGCAAGUGGGCUUCCACCAUAGCUGAGCUCUCAUUAAAACUCUCGUCUCCUGACUUCUGUUUUUUUUCUUUUCAUUUCUAACAAUACAGUGUUUAGCACUUAUAUGGACCUCCCCUGCUCUACAUCUCAAAGUGUUUUUCAAGGAUAGGUUAGCAUCAUCUCUAUUUUCACGGAUUGGGAUACUGAGACAAAGAUAUUUAAUGACCUGUCUGAUUUCACAAAAAGAAAAGGAGUACUUGUGGACCCUUAGAGACUAACAAAUUUAUUUGAGCAUAAGCUUUCGUGAGCUACAGCUCACUUCAUCGGAUGCAUUUGGUGGAAAAUACAGAGGGGAGAUUGAUAUAGGAAGUCAGUGGCAGAAUCAGGGUUAGAAGCCAGGUGUCCUGAUUCUCAGUCUGGUGUACUGAUCAUUGGAUCAUGAAGCCUCCUAUUUACACUUCAUCCCUCCUGGCACCCUAAGAAAGAACUUCCUUCCUACUUCCUAAUCUAUGGAAUAACCAGACUCAUAUUUCUAGGGGUGGGAUUUUUAAAAAUGCCCAGUUAGGUGCCUAGCUCCCAUGUGUAUGUAAGGCAGUUCUUUAUAUCUUACAUUAAUGAUGGCAUGUGGAUUCACAUAUCCCCCCAGGUUUCUGCCUUCCAUUUAGCAUGGAGGUUUUCAAACUGUCGCCUCCUGCUAGGAGCCAGUUGAGUGGAAGCUGGUGGGAGCCACCUGGCCCACUUGGGCCCCUAGUUCUCCGUGCUAUGGGAGCCGGGGCAUCUCUGCACACCUGGGCGCUCCCCAGGCAGGGCAGGCAGCACAGCUGUGAGCUGCGCCCCGAGGUGCUCUUGACUCUCUCCUAAAGGAGCCCAGUAUCAGCUGGCAACACUUCCUGGAGCUGGCCCCGACCAUGGAGGUGGAGCCCAGCUGCCAUGAGAUGCUCCCGAAGGGCUCACUCACUGCUACCCUGGUGCUCCUGGCUCAGCUGCUGCUCCUCCAGAAGCAUGUGUGGGGUGGUCAUAUGCCCCGUCUCUUCCCAAAACCCUUAAAUUGGGCCCCCCUCUCCCACUAUCCAGAGUUACGUGUCCUUUCUGAACCAAAGGAUACAGCUUCCUUAUUGCAUUAUAUUAAAACAGCUUAGAUGACACCUUGUCGACCAGCUUAGCAGUAGCACAAUGUGCUACCAUGUGGGGAUCAGAGUUUGAGAGCCUAACCCUUUUGUUCCUAAGAUCUGCCUGGGGGCUUGCAAAUGUGUUGUAGAGACAGCUUGCUCCAGGUGGUUUAGGGUCACUGUGGGUUACCUGGUUGAUUUAGGAAUGGCAUCCACCUGCUGCUGCACUAUACAGUUUUAUGGUGGGAGGAGGGAAGAAAUAAGAAAGGAAAAGGGGUGAUAAGAGGAUCUUUGUGGUUCCAAGAUGGACUCAAAACCACACCAUGGCCUGGGAGGAAUAGCAAAACAAACAGCAACCUCAGCUAAAUACUCUGAGGCAUUUCCCCUCAGAAGUUGCUUCAAAGACAAUCAUCCGGUUCAUGGACUUUCAAGAGGAAAAAGCCCAUUUUUCUUUCAAAUAUUAUUGGUGUUUGUGUUCUGGCAGUACCCAUAAUGCUCUAGGGGCUUUCCCCUGACACAUGAAGACAAAGUCCCUGCCUCUAAGAGCUCACAGUCUUCGAAAAUAAGCAACAUGCAAAGGGUGGGGCAGAGAAAUCAAAUAUAUAAUCAAAAUAUAACCAACAUGUAAUAACCAUCAGCUAUCCUGAAAUGGCCCCAGCCAAUGUUCGUUAGCCAACUGCUUGGAGGUAUCUUGGCAAGAUGAGCUUGAAAAGGGAUUUGAAGGAGGAAGAAUAGUAGCCUCAUUGAACAAUUUUGGAGAGGGGGGUGUUGCAAGUAAGGGGCAUCAUAGAAGAAGGUGGGAAGACAGUUGAGAGAAGUGGACAAAGGUGGAGUCAGUACCGCCCAACCCCAAAUAUUCAAACAUCAUGAGAGAGGCUUGAAAAUAAUGAGAUUAUGUUCAAACAAUAAAUGUUUUUUUUAUUUGCCUUCUGCUUUUUGAGCCUUUAGGUGCACUGGGGUCACAUUUGGAAGCUUUCUCCACAGCCAUGAGGGCUAGGAACUUAUUUUUUCUUUAAGAAUGAAGGCUGAAAUCAUCACAUAUCACUUGACUCCAGGAGCUGGGGCUUUAAGGAAAUCAACUAUUAUCAUGAGACUUAUGACAAAAUCGUUGGAGUUGGCAACACUAUGGGAGCAGCGGGUGCAUUGGCAACCCUCCCGCUUUCGCUGGGAGGCUCCUGGAAUCAUGCUCUAUCUCCCAGAGGCUACUUCAGCCAACCCAGGAGAUUUUGGGUGCUAACAGUUCGGCGCGGCAGCGGAGCUAAGACAGGCUCCCUUACCUUCCUUGGCUCUGUGCCACUCCCAGAAGCAUCCAGCACCAUUCCUGCAGCCCUGAUGGGGAGGCGAUCUCUGCGUGCUGCCCCUGCCCCGAGCGCUGACUCCGCAGUUCUCAUUGGCCGGAUACCCCCGGCCCUCCUGUCCUAGGAGCCACUGCCAGAGAGAUGUGCCGGUCGCUUUUGGGAGCCACCCAAGGUCUGUUGCCCAUACCCAUUGUACAGUUGCAGUGCUGAAUGCUGAUGAGACCAGGCUUACUGCAACUGGCAAUUGUAACAUAUAAGAGUUGUUGGAGAGCAGCAGCAGCAGGAAAAGGGUGGAGAAGCUGCUGUGAGAUUUGUGCUACUGUCUGUGAAAUAUCCCCAGGCUGAAAUAUCAGACAAUUUCAGAUAAAGUGCACUGUGACGGGGUGUACCAACCCUGCACGGGGCCAAUGGGGCGUGACCAAUCACUGUGGGCCCAGGAAACCACACCCCCUCAUCCCUGCUGGGCAUACUUAGUGUGGAAGGGACAGAUAAAAGGAGGCAGUCCAGCUCAGUCUGGGUUGGCUGAGGAGGAGGAAGGACAUGUGCUGCAGUCUCCUGCAGAGGUCCCUGUGACUCUCCAAGCGGUGGGAAACAUGGACCUGGACUACACUGCAGACGACCAGCUGACCAAGGAGACUGACUGGGACGCUGAGCUGCUGCCAGCCGAAGAGAUGCCUGAGAUGAGUUGCGGUAGGAAGUGACCCAGGGAACACUUAGAAGCUGAUGCUUGAACUCUUUACUGGGAAUUUCCAGGCUUCAUAGGACCCUGGGUCGGAACCCAGAGGAGUAAGGUGGGCUCAGGUACUCCUACCCCCACCCCCUACAGCAUUUGCCACUAGGUGUGGCUAUUGGGGGCUAUAGCUAUAGACUGAUUGUUUGCCCUGCCCUGCCCACGGGCUACAAACUGACUGCUUGUCCUGUCCUGCCCAGAGGGUCAUAACCCCCUAACUGCUAUCGUUUGCCCUAGCCAGGAGAUUUAGGAGAUUAGAGACUGAGCAUUGGCUCUGCCCCACCUAUGGACUGCAGACUAUUUGCUGUUUUUACCUGGCCCAGAAUGUCAAAGCCCAGCUGCGAUUGCUUGCCCCAGCCAGGAAGCUCAAGAGGCAUAGAUGGAGAGUUUAUUGGGCCCUACCAUAAACCCUGAGUUCCUCUAAUUGAAAUUGCCUGAUCUAACAGGGAGUCCCGACGGCAUGUGUCAACCCCCUCAAUGAGCCAAAGGGGGUGGGCCCGCUCAACAUGCAGGGCCCCCCCAUGACACACCCAUUGUCAGAAAGUAUGGCUUGUCAUUAGAGACCGUUGAACUUGCACCAUCCUCAAGGUAAAUGGGGAAAUUGGCCCCCACAGAGAGAUCCCAAAUAACAAUGUCUAUGCUACAGUCAGAUUGCAGAGCCGGCUAACAAUCUGAUUGACCCCUCCCUUGGUUUCCAAAUUGUAAUGGAGACGAGGCCUUAAUGAAACCAACAGGUUCCAAAACACAGUUAAAGCUCAGUCAAUGCUAUAAAUUGGAACCAUGUUUACAGAUCAGUGAGGGAGAGCAAGAUUGCCUGAAAAGACUGUAGCUGUGAAGUGGGCAUGGCUGUAACUUCUGUAUGAAGGGUAUAAACAGUGCGAGGGACAUAGCUGUGCCCUCUACCCUAGAAUAUAUUUUUGAUUCCUGGAUAUUGGUUACAGAAAUGAGCCAUUUAAAAAAAAAUCCACUUGCUUAUUAUUUGGAUGGUUAAGGGAUAAAGGUUAGCCAAAGCGAUAUUUCUCAGGCCACCCAGGGCUGUGAAUCACUUUGUUGCCACCUUCAUCCAGUGUGAGGGAGUCUUGCUUGUGCCAGCUGGGCAUUAGCUUUAACGCACCCAGCCCAUCAGACACUCCCGCACUCUCCUCUGGGCUACACCAGCCUUGCAGGUUGACAACAGCUGCACCUCAGCCCCCAAGUCCCUUCACAGUCUCUUCAUAGUGUCCCUCUGUGGUAUCCAGUCCCUGAUCACUGGGUAUCCACAGAAAUCCCGAAUCCUCUGUUCCCAGGUGUAUGUCUAGACUGCAAGAAAAACCCAUGGCCCAGAACCUGGGUCAGUUGACUAGGGCUUGGGCUGCGAGGCUAAUAAUAACUAAUAAUAGCAGUGUUGAAUGUUCCAACUUAGUCUGGAGUGUGGGCUCUGAAACUCAGUGAAGGAGGUGGUCUCGGAGCCAAGGCUCUAGCCUGUGUGAGACCAUCUACGCUGCUAUUUUUGCCCCUGCAAGCCCAAGACAAUUGAUCCAGAUCUGAGACUCAGUGCCAUGGAUUCUUCUUUGCAGUGUAGACAUUCCUAAUGGAACAGUGUACCUGAGUUCACCAGUUUUACCUUAGCUCACCAUUCCUCUGUCACACACACACCACUUGAAUUUGAUUAUAGUAAAACAAAAGGAAAUUUAUUUAAGAGAGACUAGAGAUUCAAAUAGAAACAAGACUGAGUCAUGGAAACAAAUGCUUAUAUUCAACACAAAAUCAGAAAACUGGGGCAUACACUUAUUAAUAAUUAUCUUUCCUAUCUAAUUAAAUAGAUUCUCACUCCAAGGAGCCAGUAGCUAGUCUUUCAUGAAGCACUGCCAUUCAUUAAGGUACCUCUUCAGUGAAUAGAUGCAGAGCAUCUUUCUCCACCCUGUGCUAUACUGAAUCAGUCUUUUGUCUUUAUUCACAUAUACGGCAGUCCCCUCGCUGUCUUAUCAUUCCUCUUCACUUCCAGGUAAUUUCAAUGUUUAUACUUUGAUGGUUUUCCAUUGGCUUUUCUGGUUUGGUGCAAUGGUGCACAAUUGAGCAAUGCAGUACAUAAUUGGCUAACUAAGGAGGAGUGACACCCCCCUCCCACUUGAAUGGCCCAUCACUGAGCCAUGAUUCCCUGAUGACUCAUAGUUUCACUCCAAGACCAGAAGUACAUAAUUUUCAAAGUAGUUAUAUUAGUCCUUAAAUAUUACCCAUACGCACAUCUCAGAAUGAUUGAGUAUCGAUAAGUUACAAGAUUUCAGUAGAGACCUUGCAUGUUAACCUUUAGCGAUAAAUACCAUGAAAACGGUGUACUAGGUAUAGUGAGUUUGUCAGGUCUGAGACAGGAGUUGCUUGUAAUUAACAGUGAACUGUUUUCUAGUUGGGACCAAUGGGCUUCUGGGUCACAUCUUGUGCACUUUGCCAUCCUGGCCUGAUGCAGCUGUGUGACAGCCUCUAUACUGAUGGAGCUGGUGAAGAAUCUAAGUACUGAAAUGCCAAGAUGCUUUGGGACCAGAGAUUGAACU
Molecule: long non-coding RNA, 6526 nt
Organism: Dermochelys coriacea (leatherback sea turtle)
Lineage: Eukaryota; Metazoa; Chordata; Testudines; Dermochelyidae
Exons: 3
Source: RefSeq, a predicted model, not a curated record